Paramuricea clavata is the source of this 695-nucleotide non-coding RNA. NCBI's taxonomy places the organism in Eukaryota, Metazoa, Cnidaria, Anthozoa, Malacalcyonacea, Plexauridae. The record is from the annotation of a GenBank genome assembly.
CAAGAACAAGAUAUCUGUUUUUUGGGCUAAGUACCGAAAUUUGGCAUAAAAAAAUGAGAUAAAGUCCCUGGAAAGCAAUUGCAACGUACUCGUCCAGAAAAAUUUUUGACCUAAAAAGUUUUCGACCGGGGGGGGAAGUUGUUCUCCGGAAAAAAAUUUUUCCGGAAAAAUUUUUUGGAUAGGGGCCCCUAAAAAAAUUUUGCCCCGGGCCCCCGCCAACCUCUCGGCGGCCCUGAGUCGCUUUGCCCGCGCGGGCGGAGCGAACAUUACUCAACUUUCUCUGUAGUUGCCUAACCUGACGCCAUGGAAGUAGAACUACAUCAACUUUCUUGGCGAUAUUCCCCGAUAAUCAUCGAGCCUGAGGAGAAUAAAUUGUUUUAGUAUUUUUACACUACAAAAGUUGGCGCAUAUUUUAAUUAAUCUAACAUAAAACUCCUUUCAUAUAUUUUUAGUGACCUCCCAAACAGUCAAAGAGAAAGAGAUCAAACGAAAGAAAACCCAAGCAUUAGAAGACGUGCUAAAAACAUAUUUUCAGCCAUUAUAUUUUCAGCCAUCAUGAAAAACACUUACGAAAACCGAAAGGGGUUAAAAACUUAUAUAGUUCAAAUUAUUGUUAAAUAUUCAGUAUAACUUCUAAAUAAAGAUAUAAUAUAUCAUUAUAUCAGCAUUAUGUUGAUAUGUCAUAAAAAUGUCAG